RNAcentral lists this transfer RNA (74 nucleotides) under Candidatus Levyibacteriota bacterium. RNAcentral describes it as "tRNA-His". It matches the Rfam family "tRNA". From Rfam's summary of the family: Transfer RNA (tRNA) molecules are approximately 80 nucleotides in length. The record is from RNAcentral. Lineage: Bacteria; Candidatus Levyibacteriota.
GGUGGAUGUAGCUCAGUGGUAGAGCGCCAGCUUGUGGAGCUGGAUGUCGCGGGUUCGAACCCCGUCUUCCACCC